Molecule: ribosomal RNA, 410 nt
Filed under: uncultured bacterium
Lineage: Bacteria
Description: bacterial SSU rRNA
Rfam family: Bacterial small subunit ribosomal RNA
Source: RNAcentral
UGGGGAAUAUUGCACAAUGGGCGGAAGCCUGAUGCAGCGACGCCGCGUGGGGGAUGACGGCCUUCGGGUUGUAAACUCCCUUCACCAUCGACGAAGGGUUUCUGACGGUAGAUGGAGAAGAAGCACCGGCUAACUACGUUCCAGCUGCCGCGGUAAUACGUAGGGUGCGAGCGUUGUCCGGAAUUACUGGGCGUAAAGAGCUCGUAGGUGGUUUGUCGCGUCGUCUGUGAAAUUCCGGGGCUUAACUCCGGGCGUGCAGGCGAUACGGGCAUAACUUGAGUACUGUAGGGGAGACUGGAAUUCCUGGUGUAGCGGUGAAAUGCGCAGAUAUCAGGAGGAACACCGGUGGCGAAGGCGGGUCUCUGGGCAGUAACUGACGCUGAGGAGCGAAAGCAUGGGGAGCGAACAGG